CCUACGGGUUGCAGCAGUGGGGAAUAUUGCACAAUGGGCGCAAGCCUGAUGCAGCCAUGCCGCGUGUACGAAGAAGGCCUUCGGGUUGUAAAGUACUUUCAGCGAGGAGGAAGGUGUUGUGGUUAAUAACCGCAGCAAUUGACGUUACCCGCAGAAGAAGCACCGGCUAACUCCGUGCCAGCAGCCGCGGUAAUACGGAGGGUGCUAGCGUUAAUCGGAAUUACUGGGCGUAAAGCGCACGCAGGCGGUCUGUCAAGUCGGAUGUGAAAUCCCCGGGCUCAACCUGGGAACUGCAUUCGAAACUGGCAGGCUAGAGUCUUGUAGAGGGGGGUAGAAUUCCAGGUGUAGCGGUGAAAUGCGUAGAGAUCUGGAGGAAUACCGGUGGCAAAGGCGGCCCCCUGGACAAAGACUGACGCUCAGGUGCGAAAGCGUGGGGAGCAAACAGGAUUAGAUACCCGGGUAGUC
RNAcentral lists this ribosomal RNA (465 nucleotides) under uncultured bacterium. RNAcentral describes it as "bacterial SSU rRNA". It matches the Rfam family "Bacterial small subunit ribosomal RNA", at positions 338 to 795 of the family's 1533-position model. The record is from RNAcentral.